Molecule: transfer-messenger RNA, 375 nt
Filed under: Micrococcaceae
Lineage: Bacteria; Bacillati; Actinomycetota; Actinomycetes; Micrococcales
Also listed under: 1 other name
Description: Rothia nasimurium_B Standard tmRNA
Rfam family: transfer-messenger RNA
About the family: Bacterial tmRNA, also known as 10Sa RNA or SsrA, is named for its dual tRNA and mRNA-like properties.
Source: RNAcentral
GGGGAUGAUCGGUUUCGACGAUGUGAGUUGAGAUGGAUGAAGCGUGCCGAGGACGCAGGGUUAUCUCGUUAACGCCCUCUGCAAAAAAUAAGUGCAGAAUCUAAGCGCACUGACUUCGCACUCGCUGCCUAAUAAUCCCAGCGAUGCAGUCUGGUAGCCUGAGCUUGCCUUUGGCUCAGCCCCUACCAUCAGUUUAAAAGGCCACUGCUGCCCGUCCUUGUCGUAGGGCCGGGUGGGACUUUUAUACGGCUAGGUUAGGCCUUGUAAGUGUUUGCGCAAGCAAGGUAGCCGAAAAUACCGCUUUCACAAACUGCGCACGGAGAAGACCCGUUGACGCCACAUCGGACCGGGGUUCGAUUCCCCGCAUCUCCACAG